RNAcentral lists this ribosomal RNA (416 nucleotides) under uncultured bacterium. Its description in RNAcentral is "bacterial SSU rRNA". It matches the Rfam family "Bacterial small subunit ribosomal RNA", at positions 355 to 768 of the family's 1533-position model. The record is from RNAcentral.
UGAGGAAUAUUGGGCAAUGCCCGAAAGGGUGACCCAGCAACGCCGCGUGGAGGAUGAAGGUCGUAAGAUUGUAAACUCCUGUUAGAGGGGAAGAAUAACUAAGUUUGGAGCUUAGUAUGACUGUACCCUCAGAGAAAGCCCCGGCUAACUACGUGCCAGCAGCCGCGGUAAUACGUAGGGGGCAAGCGUUGUCCGGAUUUACUGGGUGUAAAGGGCGCGCAGGCGGAAUGGAAAGUCACUGGUGAAAUCCUACAGCUUAACUGUAGAACUGCCUUUGAUGCUUUCAUAAUUGAAUUCGGGAGAGAGAGACAGAAUUCCAGGUGUAGUGGUGAAAUACGUAGAUAUCUGGAAGAACACCAGUUGCGAAGGCGGUCUCGUGGUCCGAUACUGACGCUGAGUCGCGAAAGCGUGGGGAG